This 594-nucleotide ribosomal RNA is filed under the name uncultured bacterium. RNAcentral describes it as "bacterial SSU rRNA". It matches the Rfam family "Bacterial small subunit ribosomal RNA", at positions 338 to 956 of the family's 1533-position model. The record is from RNAcentral.
CCUACGGGAGGCAGCAGUGGGGAAUAUUGGACAAUGGGCGAAAGCCUGAUCCAGCAAUGCCGCGUGAGUGAUGAAGGCCUUCGGGUCGUAAAGCUCUUUUACCAGGGAUGAUAACGACAGUACCUGGAGAAUAAGCUCCGGCUAACUCCGUGCCAGCAGCCGCGGUAAUACGGAGGGAGCUAGCGUUGUUCGGAAUUACUGGGCGUAAAGAGUACGUAGGCGGUUAUUCAAGUCAGAGGUGAAAGCCCGGGGCUCAACCCCGGAACUGCCUUUGAAACUAGAUAACUAGAGUCUUGGAGAGGUUAGUGGAAUUCCGAGUGUAGAGGUGAAAUUCGUAGAUAUUCGGAAGAACACCAGUGGCGAAGGCGACUAACUGGACAAGUACUGACGCUGAGGUACGAAAGCGUGGGGAGCAAACAGGAUUAGAUACCCUGGUAGUCCACGCCGUAAACGAUGAUAACUAGUUGUUCGGUCACUUGGUGACUGAGUGACGCAGCUAACGCAUUAAGUUAUCCGCCUGGGGAGUACGGUCGCAAGAUUAAAACUCAAAGAUAGUAGCGUGNGAAGUAGUCGACGACGACGACGAGGAGGAGG